This 459-nucleotide ribosomal RNA is filed under the name uncultured bacterium. RNAcentral describes it as "partial 16S ribosomal RNA". It matches the Rfam family "Bacterial small subunit ribosomal RNA", at positions 338 to 795 of the family's 1533-position model. The record is from RNAcentral.
CCUACGGGAGGCUGCAGUGAGGAAUAUUGGGCAAUGGGGGCAACCCUGACCCAGCCAUGCCGCGUGAGUGAAGAAGGUCUUCGGAUUGUAAACCUCUUUAAGCGGGGAGCAAUGCCGGGCACGCUUGCCCGGAGGGCGAGUACCCGCAGAUUAAGCAUCGGCUAACUCCGUGCCAGCAGCCGCGGUAAUACGGAGGAUGCGAGCGUUAUCCGGAUUUAUUGGGUUUAAAGGGUGCGUAGGCGGAUUUUUAAGUCCGCGGUAAAAUGUCCGGGCUCAACCCGGGCCGGCCGUUGAAACUGGGGAUCUUGAGUGGGCGAGAAGUAUGCGGAAUGCGUGGUGUAGCGGUGAAAUGCAGAGAUAUCACGAAGAACUCCGAUUGCGAAGGCAGCAUACCGGCGCCCGACUGACGCUGAGGCACGAAAGCGUGGGGAUCGAACAGGAUUAGAUACCCCAGUAGUC